This 370-nucleotide ribosomal RNA is filed under the name uncultured organism. RNAcentral describes it as "bacterial SSU rRNA". It matches the Rfam family "Bacterial small subunit ribosomal RNA", at positions 526 to 896 of the family's 1533-position model. The record is from RNAcentral.
CGUAAGGUGCAAGCGUUAAUCGGAAUUACUGGGCGUAAAGCGUGCGCAGGCGGUGAUGUAAGACAGGUGUGAAAUCCCCGGGCUUAACCUGGGAACUGCAUUUGUGACUGCAUCGCUGGAGUGCGGCAGAGGGGGAUGGAAUUCCGCGUGUAGCAGUGAAAUGCGUAGAUAUGCGGAGGAACACCGAUGGCGAAGGCAAUCCCCUGGGCCUGCACUGACGCUCAUGCACGAAAGCGUGGGGAGCAAACAGGAUUAGAUACCCUGGUAGUCCACGCCCUAAACGAUGUCAACUGGUUGUUGGGUCUUCACUGACUCAGUAACGAAGCUAACGCGUGAAGUUGACCGCCUGGGGAGUACGGCCGCAAGGUUG